This 492-nucleotide ribosomal RNA is filed under the name uncultured bacterium. RNAcentral's name for it is "partial 16S ribosomal RNA". It matches the Rfam family "Bacterial small subunit ribosomal RNA", at positions 29 to 507 of the family's 1533-position model. The record is from RNAcentral.
AGUGAACGCUGGCGGUGUGCCUAACACAUGCAAGUCGAACGGAAGCACAGUGAGAUUGUGCUCUUACCGGUGGCGGGUGGCGGACGGGUGACGAGUACAUCGGAAUCUACUUUUUCGGGGGGGAUAACGGAGGGAAAGUUACGCUAAUACCGCAUAUGAUCUACCGGUGAGAGCAGUGGAUCGUCUGACCUUUCGCGGAUGAAUGAGCCGAUGUCGGAUUAGCUAGUUGGGGGGGUAAAGGCCCAGCAAGGCGACGAUACGUAGCUGAUCUGAGAGGAUGAUCGGCCACACUGGAACUGAGACACGGUCCAGACUCCUACGGGAGGCAGCAGUCGGGAAUGUUGGACAGUGGGCGCAAGCCUGACCCAGCCAUCCCGCGUGUGUGACGAAGGCCUUCGGGUCGUAAAGCCCUUUUUUUGGGAAAGAACAGCUGUAGGUUAAUACCACGCUGUUCUGACGGUACCCAAAGAAUAAGCACCGGCUAACUACGUG